This 451-nucleotide ribosomal RNA is filed under the name uncultured bacterium. RNAcentral's name for it is "bacterial SSU rRNA". It matches the Rfam family "Bacterial small subunit ribosomal RNA", at positions 26 to 507 of the family's 1533-position model. The record is from RNAcentral.
AGGACGAACGCUGGCGGCAUGCCUAACACAUGCAAGUCUAGGGGUAGCAAUACCACUGGCGCACGGGUGAGUAACACGUAGGUUAUCUGCCCCCAUCACAGACAUAACCCCGGGAAACCGGGGCUAAUAUCUGAUGAGGUCGCGAGAUCAAAGCUUCGGCGGAUGGGGAUGAGCCUGCGGCUGAUUAGCUAGUUGGUGAGGUAAUGGCUCACCAAGGCGACGAUCAGUAGCUGGUCUGAGAGGACGAACAGCCACACUGGAACUGAGACACGGUCCAGACUCCUACGGGAGGCAGCAGUGAGGAAUAUUGGUCAAUGGGAGCAAUCCUGAACCAGCAAUGCCGCGUGUGGGAUGACAGGGCUUCGCCUUGUAAACCACUGUCGGACGGGACGAAAGGAGGCCUCGGGCCUCUGGGACGGUACCGUCAAAGGAAGGGUCGGCUAACUACGUG